This 2341-nucleotide ribosomal RNA is filed under the name Staphylococcus aureus W82303. RNAcentral describes it as "bacterial LSU rRNA". It matches the Rfam family "Bacterial large subunit ribosomal RNA", at positions 578 to 2925 of the family's 2925-position model. The record is from RNAcentral. Lineage: Bacteria; Bacillati; Bacillota; Bacilli; Caryophanales; Staphylococcaceae.
AGCCCGUUAAUGGGUGAUGGCGUGCCUUUUGUAGAAUGAACCGGCGAGUUACGAUUUGAUGCAAGGUUAAGCAGUAAAUGUGGAGCCGUAGCGAAAGCGAGUCUGAAUAGGGCGUUUAGUAUUUGGUCGUAGACCCGAAACCAGGUGAUCUACCCUUGGUCAGGUUGAAGUUCAGGUAACACUGAAUGGAGGACCGAACCGACUUACGUUGAAAAGUGAGCGGAUGAACUGAGGGUAGCGGAGAAAUUCCAAUCGAACCUGGAGAUAGCUGGUUCUCUCCGAAAUAGCUUUAGGGCUAGCCUCAAGUGAUGAUUAUUGGAGGUAGAGCACUGUUUGGACGAGGGGCCCCUCUCGGGUUACCGAAUUCAGACAAACUCCGAAUGCCAAUUAAUUUAACUUGGGAGUCAGAACAUGGGUGAUAAGGUCCGUGUUCGAAAGGGAAACAGCCCAGACCACCAGCUAAGGUCCCAAAAUAUAUGUUAAGUGGAAAAGGAUGUGGCGUUGCCCAGACAACUAGGAUGUUGGCUUAGAAGCAGCCAUCAUUUAAAGAGUGCGUAAUAGCUCACUAGUCGAGUGACACUGCGCCGAAAAUGUACCGGGGCUAAACAUAUUACCGAAGCUGUGGAUUGUCCUUUGGACAAUGGUAGGAGAGCGUUCUAAGGGCGUUGAAGCAUGAUCGUAAGGACAUGUGGAGCGCUUAGAAGUGAGAAUGCCGGUGUGAGUAGCGAAAGACGGGUGAGAAUCCCGUCCACCGAUUGACUAAGGUUUCCAGAGGAAGGCUCGUCCGCUCUGGGUUAGUCGGGUCCUAAGCUGAGGCCGACAGGCGUAGGCGAUGGAUAACAGGUUGAUAUUCCUGUACCACCUAUAAUCGUUUUAAUCGAUGGGGGGACGCAGUAGGAUAGGCGAAGCGUGCGAUUGGAUUGCACGUCUAAGCAGUAAGGCUGAGUAUUAGGCAAAUCCGGUACUCGUUAAGGCUGAGCUGUGAUGGGGAGAAGACAUUGAGUCUUCGAGUCGUUGAUUUCACACUGCCGAGAAAAGCCUCUAGAUAGAAAAUAGGUGCCCGUACCGCAAACCGACACAGGUAGUCAAGAUGAGAAUUCUAAGGUGAGCGAGCGAACUCUCGUUAAGGAACUCGGCAAAAUGACCCCGUAACUUCGGGAGAAGGGGUGCUCUUUAGGGUUAACGCCCAGAAGAGCCGCAGUGAAUAGGCCCAAGCGACUGUUUAUCAAAAACACAGGUCUCUGCUAAACCGUAAGGUGAUGUAUAGGGGCUGACGCCUGCCCGGUGCUGGAAGGUUAAGAGGAGUGGUUAGCUUCUGCGAAGCUACGAAUCGAAGCCCCAGUAAACGGCGGCCGUAACUAUAACGGUCCUAAGGUAGCGAAAUUCCUUGUCGGGUAAGUUCCGACCCGCACGAAAGGCGUAACGAUUUGGGCACUGUCUCAACGAGAGACUCGGUGAAAUCAUAGUACCUGUGAAGAUGCAGGUUACCCGCGACAGGACGGAAAGACCCCGUGGAGCUUUACUGUAGCCUGAUAUUGAAAUUCGGCACAGCUUGUACAGGAUAGGUAGGAGCCUUUGAAACGUGAGCGCUAGCUUACGUGGAGGCGCUGGUGGGAUACUACCCUAGCUGUGUUGGCUUUCUAACCCGCACCACUUAUCGUGGUGGGAGACAGUGUCAGGCGGGCAGUUUGACUGGGGCGGUCGCCUCCUAAAAGGUAACGGAGGCGCUCAAAGGUUCCCUCAGAAUGGUUGGAAAUCAUUCAUAGAGUGUAAAGGCAUAAGGGAGCUUGACUGCGAGACCUACAAGUCGAGCAGGGUCGAAAGACGGACUUAGUGAUCCGGUGGUUCCGCAUGGAAGGGCCAUCGCUCAACGGAUAAAAGCUACCCCGGGGAUAACAGGCUUAUCUCCCCCAAGAGUUCACAUCGACGGGGAGGUUUGGCACCUCGAUGUCGGCUCAUCGCAUCCUGGGGCUGUAGUCGGUCCCAAGGGUUGGGCUGUUCGCCCAUUAAAGCGGUACGCGAGCUGGGUUCAGAACGUCGUGAGACAGUUCGGUCCCUAUCCGUCGUGGGCGUAGGAAAUUUGAGAGGAGCUGUCCUUAGUACGAGAGGACCGGGAUGGACAUACCUCUGGUGUACCAGUUGUCGUGCCAACGGCAUAGCUGGGUAGCUAUGUGUGGACGGGAUAAGUGCUGAAAGCAUCUAAGCAUGAAGCCCCCCUCAAGAUGAGAUUUCCCAACUUCGGUUAUAAGAUCCCUCAAAGAUGAUGAGGUUAAUAGGUUCGAGGUGGAAGCAUGGUGACAUGUGGAGCUGACGAAUACUAAUCGAUCGAAGACUUAAUCAA